Molecule: ribosomal RNA, 253 nt
Filed under: uncultured bacterium
Lineage: Bacteria
Description: partial 16S ribosomal RNA
Rfam family: Bacterial small subunit ribosomal RNA
Source: RNAcentral
UACGUAGGGGGCUAGCGUUGUCCGGAAUCAUUGGGCGUAAAGAGCGUGUAGGCGGUCCGGUAAGUCCGCUGUGAAAGUCGGGGGCUCAACCCUCGAAUGCCGGUGGAUACUGUCGGGCUAGAGUGCGGAAGAGGCGAGUGGAAUUCCUGGUGUAGCGGUGAAAUGCGCAGAUAUCAGGAGGAACACCGGUGGCGAAGGCGGGUCUCUGGGCCGAUACUGACGCUGAGGAGCGAAAGCAUGGGGAGCGAACAGG